This 130-nucleotide small RNA is filed under the name Desulforamulus hydrothermalis Lam5 = DSM 18033. RNAcentral describes it as "Desulfotomaculum hydrothermale Lam5 = DSM 18033 L20_leader". It matches the Rfam family "Ribosomal protein L20 leader". Rfam says of the family: This family is a putative r-protein leader autoregulatory structure found in B. subtilis and other low-GC Gram-positive bacteria. It is located in the 5' untranslated regions of mRNAs encoding initiation factor 3 followed by ribosomal proteins L35 and L20 (infC-rpmI-rplT). The record is from RNAcentral. Lineage: Bacteria; Bacillati; Bacillota; Clostridia; Eubacteriales; Peptococcaceae.
UUGAUGAAGAAGAAGCAGCCGCUUCUCACCUUACAACCAUGGUUCGUAAGGUUACGGUGUUAUACAAUAAGUGUUGCUUGUUGUAUUGCGUCUGUAAGCGGGUGUAUUGCACCCGCUUUUAUAUUUGGUU